UGUAUGAUUAUUUUAGGUACAAUAUAAGGGAAUCCCAAUGAAUGGAUAUCCCCUGGGAAGCAGUAGAAGAAGGUCCAGGAAGCUCUUUAUGUCUGAAGUUAUAGUUAUAGUGUUAUAAGUUAUUAUAAUGUGUGAUGAAAAAUGAACCAACCAAAUAAGUGAAGAUCAGCAGGGAGAGUGCAUAUCAGGAACAUAAAUUAUCCAUUUUAAUCUACAUAAAACAGAACCUGUUUAUCAUGGUCUUACUAAGUGGAAUUUACAUCCCAAAGAUAGCUGAAAGAUCAUCGCGAGAGUUCACCCAAACCUGAAACCAAACAAGAUACUGAUUGAAAUACUGAAAUAGACGGAGCAUAUUAUGUUGCUGGGGAGAAGAAGAGACCUAUUUUUAUGGCGGUAAAAGAGAUUCCUUAAAUGGAGGCGCUAGGAUAUUCCUAGUGCAAUACAUAGACAGGAGAAUAUUGUAAAAAGUAGCAGACUAGGAAGUUAAAGAAUAAAGGAGCCCAAGAAUAUAGUGCUGAAAACAAGGGCAAUUAAUUGAUACUUUUAAUCAGUUAGACCUAAGGGGAAAUUAAAAUACCUGGAACAUCAAGUCAGUUGGUGCUAAUAAAAAAGAAGAAGUCUUAAGAUAUUCCUGCAUGUGAACAGCAAGAACCAAGAAGAUUAUGCCACAGAAGACAAAAACAUUUAUUGAAGUGAAGGAAUAGGCGUGGAAGUACAUCAGAGCAAUAAUAAAAGUGAUCAAUAAAAGGAGGCGACCGGAACUUUAGGCAAUUUUAUUGUGAAAGUAUCAGCGUCGGACCCCUUGCAUUGGGGGUGCAGGCACGUACAAGGUCGAGGAAAACUAAUUUGUCCCAAACCGGGCCGAAAGUUAGGGAGUGACAUGCCCGCCUGGACAACAACAAGAAGAAAGUCAAACUGGUUAUGCGAGUAGUUAUAGUUGCACACGUACACGGAAGGGGUCUUGGACUGCCGGAAACUUUCCGGCAAAUCAUUAAAUUAGGCUCCGGAUCGUUUCCAGAUUCCAGAUUUUCUUGGACCUGACUUCCUUGUCCCCCUUUUAGAUGGUAUUAAGAUGGACUAGCGGCAUUCGUUUCAUGUUAAUAUGAACAACACGUUUUAGGGCUCCAGGGUUCCCGUUAAUUCGUCAGUAUUUUUGUUACCUGAUAGUGUUUAAAUUAAAUGAAUUGGAUAAUUGAUGAA
Molecule: long non-coding RNA, 1200 nt
Filed under: Anthonomus grandis grandis
Lineage: Eukaryota; Metazoa; Arthropoda; Insecta; Coleoptera; Curculionidae
Description: uncharacterized LOC126748642
Source: RNAcentral